UUUUACUACCCUAAAUGAUGCUCCGAUGAAUACAAAAUUGACCCUAUUUCCAGUUAGUUCUUCAAAAGGUAUCUAUAGAAAAGGAAUUACAGGGUGACAGGGGCCCACUUUGAGGCUCUAUCUACAUAUUGUCAACAUGCUUUCCAAAAAGGUUGUGGCAAUUUACAUCACAAUUAUAUAAUUUUGAAAAACCUCUGCCCCCUUAGUCUUCCUCAAUUUCAGAAACCAGGUCUCUUCUAGAGAGAUGGGGCCCCCUGGCCUUGUGUAUCACUAAACAAUACUUGGUCAACGGCUACAGCUGGGUUUUUCCCAAAGAAGCUUUCAUCUCAUUUCACUUCGUUAAACGAACACACAACAGUUGCUAAAAGAGGGAAGAAGGGUCUUUAUUGUUUUUUAAAGGCCCCUGUGAGCAGGCCAUAGUGAAGUUCCAGGACACGACACAGCCGGGUCUAUCCCAAUCAUAUACACAUCAGGAUGAGCAGGUCUGAAAGAGAAACGCCCCAUUCCAAAUGGCAGCGGCAGCUCAGAGCCGGGUGGCCAAAAUGCCCAUUAGCUGUUUGUCAGGAGUAUUUUUAGAAAGCGCAGAACAAGACUGGGAGGAGAACCAUGCUGCCCUGUGCCCUCUCCCCGGGAUCCAUCGCCGAAGCCUCCAGAAACUGCCCGCUAUCAGCUGCACUCCCCACGCUGACAAGCCCAGCACACACAACACACCCCAGACAGCAUUAAAGGUGCCCCUGAGCAAGGACACACGUCUGCCCCCAAAAUCUGUCUGAGGAGCCUCACGAUAUUCACUUACUGCAGGGAGCUUCUGUUAUCAGAAUGCGCAGACAUGUGGAAAUUAGCAUCAGAUCUCUGAAACGCAAUGAUCUGGGGGAAAAUCCCAUGAUCUAAAUCAUAGAUGUCAUACCUUGCAAUCUGUCUAACGUUCCAAAAAUGUCCAUUUUCAUUGCUGUUCUCGAGGCCUAUGGUCUUCCACAGUGAACGAGGCUUGUGCAUACAGUCAGGCAGAACAGGGCCGAUCAAUUAACCUCUCUGAACCUCAGUUUCCUCAUCAGAAAAGUAGGGCCAAAUAGUAAUGUCUGCCUCAUAAGGGUCUUGUGAAAAUUCGGAACCCUUGGCCUGUAAAAGGCCCUCAGGAAGUGCUAAUUUUAAUGCCGGUGGUCAUGGUACGGUUCAAAAGCAGAUUUAUCCAGCUAUAAAUUCCUGGCACAUUUUACUUCUGGAAACCACUGCGCUCUAGCCUUUCCACCAGAGGAAGGGAGAGAAAAGAAAUGAAACCUAAAAGUCACAUUUGCAUUAUCUCAGCCACCCCUGUAAGCCACAUAAUGGGAAGAGGAAUUUGUAACAACUUCUAAAAAUGAAACUGUCAAGUGACCAGUGGCUAUUCCUGUCUCCAUUAUGCAUCUAUUAGAAGCUAAAGAGACAUACAAAGGACGUACAUUUGCGUGAACUCUGCGCAGCACCAGGACCUUCUUCUGACUCCAUCUCCCCUCUUCUAACAUGAGAAGAAUGGACUGGAGAAAACCUGCUCAGGAAACCUUAGUCCAGGCAGGAGACGAAGAUGCCUUGUGUGGGGACGGCGGCAGGGCGAAGUUUCAGGUUUUCACUCAGAAAGUUCACAAAACUCUGGCACCUGCUCCUGUUUUGUCAGCAAGUGCAGUGGAUGAAACAGUAACUGAGCAAGUAAGCAACUACUGCAGCAAAAACUCAAAACUGCUAGUCUGCUUAGUUAACAAUUUUUCCCUUCCCCACGCUCAUUUUGUUCACUGGGAGUUUAGAUUGCACUCUUAACACAACAUCCUAUUUUCUGUCAGUGAAGUUGUUCUUAGUUCAUAUAAUGGAAUCCACUGGCUCAACAUCGUUCGGAACGAACGCCAUUCUUGGCUACCUGAACGUUUUUGAGAACUGCAGUUCUAAGUUUCUGCCACCAUGCUAGCCUUCUGCUACGGGCUGAAUUGUGUCCUCCCCAAAUCCACAUGUGGAAGCCCUAACUUCUAAUAACUCAGAACGUGAGUGUAUGUGGAAGUAGGGCCUUUAAUGAGAUGAUUUAGCUAAAAUGAGGUUGUUAGGGUGAGCCCUAAUGGAUUACAAUAUGCCUGGCAUCCUCAAAAGAGGCAAUUUAGACACACAGAGAGACACUGGGACAUGCACGCACAGGGAAAAGGCAAUGAGAGGACACAUAAGGAGGCAGCCAUCUGCAAACCAAGGAGAGAGGCCUCAGGAGAAACCGAACCUGCUGACAUCCUGAUCUUGAACUACGAGCCUCCAGAACCGUGAGAGAAUAAAUAUGUGUUGUUUAGGCCUCUCAGUCUGAUGUCUUGUUGUAACAGCCCCAAAAAACACAUACACCUUCCUUUUAGGCCUCUGAACCUCAGUCAGAGUUUGCACACCCAGACAGUGGAAGCUGGACUGCAGCCUCUGGCCACCAACCUUCUUCCCCCAGGGGUGUUCUCCUAGCCCCGGCUGGAAAAGUGGAGGAACAAAUUGUAACUGUGCUCUGGGGCACACACGGAUGUCCUCCAUGAACAACAGGUUCCCAACUCUUGUAGAAAGUCAUCACUUUAUGCUACGCCUUGUGCCCCACCCCAUGCUCUUUUCCGGCACAAAUACCAACAGGGGGAGCCACCUUUACCUUCCACCCACGUGACCGAGUGACACAGAGGGCUGCCAGCACAGUCAGCGGGCACCAGGCCCCUCUGGAAGGGGACACACCAAGAGGAGGUGGGAGGACCGGGGGACCUCAAAAUUGUCUCUGGCCUUGUGCUGGCUUUGGGCCCCUGCCAGAGACAGCGGUUUCUAGGGAUGAGAACAUUUUGAAAGAGACUCUCUGGGUGGUGGUUAAGCCCCCGUGGGUGGAGGGCUCCCGCCUCACCCCCGCCAGGCGCCCCUCCCAUGCUGUUCCCCUCCCAGAUGCCCAGCAGCCACGGGGGCGCAGCUGCUCCGAAUUAGUGCUGGGGCCCUGCUGCGGAACAGAGCACAGCCGGGAUGGGGGCGUCCCACCCGCUCUGACUCCGGGAGGCUCUAGGAGGGUGUGUAAGAAAGCUGGACGGCAGUGGUUUUCCCUCAGCGCGGCCACGUGGCGUCUCUCUCACAGUCAGUAAGAUGGAGAAGCAGGGACAAACCUGGUGAUAGAUUUAGAAGGGAGAAUGAGCAAAACUUGAUGGCUGGGGGCGCUGUUGGGAGUGGGGUAGAGACGCGAGAGGAGCUAGGAUCAUUCAUGUUCUGGCUUAAAUGGCUGGAUAGACCAAGAGGUCAUUCUCUAGCCACAGGGAUUCUAGGAGGAGUAGUUUUGAAGAUAAUUACAGAUUUCCUUAUGGCAAUUAUGUUAUAAUAUAUGCAUUUAUGUGUUUCUUCCUCCAACUAGACUGUAUACUCCUUGAGGACAGAGAAACUCUGUAGGCACUUCUGUAUAUUGCAGGCACCAGGUUGGAGCAUUCAUUCAGCACUUACCGAACAAACACUAAUUGAGGGCCCCACCGUGUGCACAGCAGUGGCUCAAGUACUGCACCAGCUCUAGAAGUGCGGGGGCCAGACACACAAGUUUAUUAUCUCUUGGAUAAAUAUUUUAUUUGAUUUUUUAUCGAAAAUAAUUUUUUUAAUGUUUAUUUAUUUUUAAGAGAUAGAACGCGAGCAGGG
Molecule: long non-coding RNA, 3636 nt
Organism: Leopardus geoffroyi (Geoffroy's cat)
Lineage: Eukaryota; Metazoa; Chordata; Mammalia; Carnivora; Felidae
Exons: 3
Source: RefSeq, a predicted model, not a curated record